UGGGGAAUAUUGGGCAAUGGGCGAAAGCCUGACCCAGCAACGCCGCGUGAGGGAAGAAGGUCUUCGGAUUGUAAACCUCUGUCCUCAGGGAAGAAAAAAAUGACGGUACCUGAGGAGGAAGCCCCGGCUAACUACGUGCCAGCAGCCGCGGUAAUACGUAGGGGGCAAGCGUUGUCCGGAAUUACUGGGCGUAAAGGGUGCGUAGGCGGCAAUGCAAGUCAGAUGUGAAAUACCAGAGCUUAACUCUGGGGCUGCAUUUGAAACUGUGUUGCUUGAGUGCAGGAGAGGGAAGCGGAAUUCCUAGUGUAGCGGUGAAAUGCAUAGAUAUUAGGAAGAACACCAGUGGCGAAGGCGGCUUUCUGGACUGUAACUGACGCUGAGGCACGAAAGCGUGGGGAGCAAACAGG
RNAcentral lists this ribosomal RNA (407 nucleotides) under uncultured prokaryote. RNAcentral's name for it is "bacterial SSU rRNA". It matches the Rfam family "Bacterial small subunit ribosomal RNA", at positions 355 to 776 of the family's 1533-position model. The record is from RNAcentral. RNAcentral also lists the same sequence under 1 other name.